UUUUGCUUUUCAUCACCUGCAAGAUUUACAUAAAAAUCACAUAAGCUGGAAUUCAACAAAAGACCUCCGACUAUGUGAAGAUACAGUGGGAAGAUGACUGUCUGCAAGGCAGGAAGAGAGCCCUCACUGAGGAACCAAAUUGGCCAGUAUCUUGAUCUUGGAUUUCUCAGCCUCGAGAACCAUGAGAAAUGAAUGUCUAUUGUUCAAGCCACCCAGUUUAUGAAAAGGUUUGGAAACCUUCAUCUAGAAAGUGGUCUAGCAAAGUGUGGUCCAUGGAUGAGUUUGAUCUGCAAAGUGCUUGUUAUUGGUUCAUGACAAGGUCCACCAAUUGCAUUUUGAGAGCUCAGAUAAGCAGAGAGCAAUGCAAUUUGUCACGGAAGGAUGAUUAUGUAUAUGCACUGUCAUGUGUAUGUAUGUGUAUGUAUAUACACUAUUUCCAUGCCUAACUCAAAGGAGACACAGGGAGAAAGUGAGCUUAGCCUGGGUAAAUUGGAGGUUGUGAUGACUUCUAGGAAGCCUCAGGAAAGAGAAACAAAGACAACGCUGGCCUGCUGCUCUCUGCAAUGGUGGGACCCUUGUGGGAUAACUGUUUUAGGAAUGAAGGUGUCUACCCUCUCUAGAAAUGAAAACGCAAGUUUGGCUGUGGUUAAGUAUUGGAUGGACGCAAAAAGAAACUGACAUAUUUGCUUCUUUUCAAUUGUUUGAUUCACCCUGAAGGGCAUGGCUGCCUAAUUUUUUUCUCCAGAGAUAGGUGGACAGAUAAAGACAGGAAAGUAACAUCCGCAGACUGCCCUCUGUGAAGGUGACAGUGAUGAAGGGAACGCUUGAUCUGAACACUGGUAAAUAAAGUGACCGCAUAUUUCCCUAGCCAGGAGAGCAAUCUGGCUCAAAAGAAACGAGAACAAUGACAUUACUGCCAGGCUGCUCCUAAGCCUUUGGCUAUUCUGUUCAGUGCACAUAAAAAGCAGUGAACAUAGCUGUGACCUGCCUUGUUGGCAGUAUCACAAUUCUUUGGGGCUCCACUUUGAGAAAUUGAGACCUACCUACCUUAACCCUGGGGGCGGGUUAAGCUUUCAGACUGGAAUCAUAACUGAACUAUUCAUUUGCAGUAAUUCUGGGUUUUGUGCAUAUUUUAAAAAGGAAUACCGGGCUUGCCUAUAUUCAUUACAACGUCCUCCCAGCUUUCAAAUCUUCCAAUACAAUGCCUCUUCUCUAGUCUUUUAAGCACAUCCUGUGACUGGAUAUGAUUAUGGGAGAUUUACAUGCAUCCUUGUCUAUUGUAUCAAAAGAUCAGCGAAUAAAAUGCCCAUCAUUAAAACCCCAAAGUGAUUGGAUUGGCAUGAGGAAUGGG
This 1351-nucleotide long non-coding RNA is filed under the name Pongo abelii (Sumatran orangutan). RNAcentral's name for it is "lincRNA". The record is from RNAcentral. Lineage: Eukaryota; Metazoa; Chordata; Mammalia; Primates; Hominidae.